AAGGCUUGACAUGGGGAAGACUGGACGAGAGAUCGUCCUUCUCUAGCAAUAGAGCUUCCCACACAGGUGCUGCAUGGCUGUCGUCAGCUCGUGUCGUGAGAUGUUGGGUUAAGUCCCGCAACGAGCGCAACCCCCGUUUCUAGUUGCCAUCAUUCAGUUGGGCCCUCUAGAGAGACUGCCGCGAAUAACGCGGAGGAAGGUGGGGACGACGUCAAGUCAUCAU
This 223-nucleotide ribosomal RNA is filed under the name uncultured bacterium. Its description in RNAcentral is "partial 16S ribosomal RNA". It matches the Rfam family "Bacterial small subunit ribosomal RNA", at positions 978 to 1196 of the family's 1533-position model. The record is from RNAcentral.